Molecule: ribosomal RNA, 497 nt
Filed under: uncultured bacterium
Lineage: Bacteria
Description: partial 16S ribosomal RNA
Rfam family: Bacterial small subunit ribosomal RNA
Source: RNAcentral
GAUGAACGCUGGCGGCGUGCCUAAUACAUGCAAGUCGAGCGAACGGAUGAGAAGCUUGCUUCUCUGAUGUUAGCGGCGGACGGGUGAGUAACACGUGGAUAACCUACCUAUAAGACUGGGAUAACUUCGGGAAACCGGAGCUAAUACCGGAUAAUAUUUUGAACCGCAUGGUUCAAAAGUGAAAGACGGUCUUGCUGUCACUUAUAGAUGGAUCCGCGCUGCAUUAGCUAGUUGGUAAGGUAACGGCUUACCAAGGCAACGAUGCAUAGCCGACCUGAGAGGGUGAUCGGCCACACUGGAGCUGAGACACGGUCCAGACUCCUACGGGAGGCAGCAGUAGGGAAUCUUCCGCAAUGGGGGAAAGCCUGACGGAGCAACGCCGCGUGAGUGAUGAAGGUCUUCGGAUCGUAAAACUCUGUUAUUAGGGAAGAACAUAUGUGUAAGUAACUGUGCACAUCUUGACGGUACCUAAUCAGAAAGCCACGGCUAACUACGUG